Felis catus (domestic cat) is the source of this 4718-nucleotide long non-coding RNA. RefSeq lists it as uncharacterized. NCBI's taxonomy places the organism in Eukaryota, Metazoa, Chordata, Mammalia, Carnivora, Felidae. The transcript is spliced from 2 exons. The record is from RefSeq and is a predicted model, not a curated record.
GUAUGGCUGUUGCUACACACCACGGUGAGCCCACAGAUAAGGGACAGCCAGUGUGAGCUACAAAAGUACCUGCUCAGAGCAUUGUUGAAGCAUAAAACACAGCAAGGCUGCUGCUUUACCUCUCUUCAGAUCUCCAGUGACCAUGUCUCUUGUGGUACAUCCUACUGUGAAAGAAAGUGAAAAGCGAAUUCUGAGAAAAGUAGUUCAGCCUGGUCAAGGUGACCUUUACAAAGCCACCACCAGCUCCAUUGUAGAUGACACCCAUAUUUAUAUCUGAGUAAACUUAAAAUUGUUUCAAAUGUUUGCAACACUUUUGCUGUUAAUAAUCCAUGGCCAGAAAUAGUUGUCAUAUCUACAUUUUGCUGGGCGUUGUUAGUGGGAAGAAGAGUUAUAACAUAUUAAGUCUGAGCAGCUCCUGAAUAGAUUAGAUGGGGGAACGUUAAUUUGGGUCUCAACUGUGAGGCUUAGAUAUAGCAUUUAUUAGCUAUUUAUCCACAGUUAUUUGGCAUGAAACAUGUACUCAUAGAAUACUUGUUUCCACACUGCUAAAAUUGGUGCUCAGGCUCUUUGGCUUGUAACUUCAUGAAUUGUGUCAACCCAUUCUUAUUUAUAAUUUUAUUCUCUUACCCGUCUUAUGGGUCUCUACUGACAUCACUGGAUUCAUUUGGUUUUGAAAAGCAAAGCAGAAGGACACUGUAAAAUGAAUGACACUUUGUAAAUGGGAAUGUGUUAUAAUUAUCAUAUUUUUUCAAAAUUAAUUUAAUAAUCAUUUGAAACCUAUUUGCACUCCCUUGAUAGAUAGAAAUUCCCUAUUUUAAUCUGGUGGGAUUACACUGAAAGGAUGCAGAAAGGUAGUCUUUUUUCUCACCUUUGUCAGGGGAACGGGGGCACGUGAAGUUACCACAGUAACCUUACUAUGCGGGCAGCAGGUAGAAAGAACAACUGAGCACUUUAAUGUUGGAAAGGGAAAUGGAGGCUGUGUGAGCUAACAAUUGCAUUAUGUUUCAGUGGAACUCUGUUUUUGCUUUUGUCAAUGCAUGUGAAGUUCCCAUCUGCAAGAUGCACUGAGAGGAUUGUUUGUUCAUGUAUCAAGAGAAUAGUGGGUAUCUAUUAGAAUUCAGCAUGGCCUGAAAUACCUCUCUUACUACUCAAGUCCCGGUACAGUCUGGGUGGACUGUAGGUAGCGUUUGAUUACCUGCCCUCUAUGCUAUGAAAAUUGGUAUUUAAAGAGAUACAGGUGUCUAUCUGCACAUCUGGUAGGAUGAGUAACUCAGGGAGGUAAAUAUAUUUACGGUAGAGUAUGGGAAGGGAAACUAUGCCUAAUGCUUAUUGGAAAAGAAAACUAGAACAGGUCGUUGAAGAAUAAUACAUUAUUCAGCAAGCUAGCAUUAAAGCUGUUGGAAAUAGAGAUGUGUCCUCUUUUCAAACAGUUUACAAUCUGUAUUGGAGAUGAAUUUUAUUUUCCAGGAAAAACAAAAAGGGAGAAAUCAAGAACUUGUGUUCCUGCCUUAGAUUCUGUGGGCUGGGUACAGACAAAUAAUGGUAAAUUUCUGAGGAGGACAAAGAAUAGCCAUCAAUUUAUGGUCAGAAAGUGGGGUUUGAUUUCUAGCUCUGCUGAGUAUUAGAAUAUAAUCGUGAAUUUCCUAACUUUAAAAUGGCAGUAAUAAGCUCUACAUCACAAAGAUUUUGUGAUUAUAUAAAAUAAUAUGUCGGGGAGGGGCACCUGGCUGGCUCGUUCGGAGGAGUGUGUGACUCUUUAUAUAAGGGUCAUGAAUUUGAGCCUCAUGUUGAGUGUAGAGAUUGCUUAAAUUAAUUAAUUAAUUAAUAAGUGAGUAAAUUAAAAAAAUAAUGUAUCUGAAAGUUAGUGUUCCUAGGCCACUUACCAGUUUACAAAAAUACUUUUGAAAUCUUAAGAUGUGAUUCCCAGGAGAAGUUGGUACACAAAAACCUCUGGAGGAAGAGUAGAGUUACAUACACAGACACACACACACACACACACACACACACACACACACACAUUUAAUUUUAUGUGCAAGUAUUUAAUGCAGUUUAAGUCUUGAAAUUACAUUUAUGGUAUGUGUGACGUUCUCAUGCUCAUCCAAUAGGAGAAGUGGCUUAACAGAGGGUAAAAAAACAUUUUAUUGAUUCAUUCAGAAUAACCCUGCGAAUUAGGCUUUGAGAAAUUAUUCUCCCCAUUUUACUGAUGAAACAAUUAUGAUUUAGAAACAUUAAGUGGAUUUUCAGAAUUUACACAGGGCCAGGGCUCUUACUUGCAAGCCUGAUCUCCCACACCUGUUGUACAGGUAUCAUAGAUCAUGUUGCAAAGGCUUCACAAAACAAAACAAAAACAAAACAAACAACAACAACAAAAAACUUAGGAUCUCAGUGCACCGACAGCAACAGAUAAAAGCAUGGAUGGAUGUUAGGAGAGGUCGGAAAGUGAGAAUUCAUAGAGCUUAUUCUUCUGCAAAGGUAUGAAAAAAGGCAUUGAUGCAUUUAAUUUGUGGCUUUGUUGUUCUAUUUUCAUUCAUUUUUACUUGGAUUGGAAAUUUGGAGAGACCUCUGAAAAUGUAUGCAAAGCCAGAAGCUAGGAGUCCAAAUAGGAAAGGAAUCCAAUCACCAUCUCCUCAACCUUUCAUAGAAAUUCAUGGUUCAGCAAAGUACCAUAAUAAAUAUAAAGAAUCAGGAAAUUUUCUAGUGCCUCAAUGACCACAGAGCCAUGAGCCAUAAGCAGCCUAGCUCUAUAGAGAAUAAAUCAUUCGAGGGAAACUUGAUUACUUUUUUGAUAGAAUUAGAAGAGUCAUUGUCAGAAGGAAUGAUGUUGAUGCAAUAUAUCUUUUUUUUAAGAAAUCAUGUCCAUCAGGGGAUUUUACAUGAAAAAUUAAUUUAGGUGUAUUGAAUAUAAGCCUUGUUAAGUAGGCAAAAACCACACUGAUGGGACCCAAAUUGUAUGUGAUUUAGGGGGAAAAAAAGUGAGAAAAGAAAGAAAGGGAAAGGGUGGGGGACAUAGAGAGUGACAGAGACCAGGAGAGAUUCAGGAAUAUAUUAAGGAAUGAGGGGAUUUUUCAGACAAAGCAUUGUAUCCUGGGGCUACAGUCUUUUUACAUCUUUCAUAAAAAAAUGUAAUUCCUAAAGAUUAUAGAAUUUAAAAAUAUACAUUGAGCAUUCAUGUCAGAAAGAUCUUAGGAGAACAUUAUGACUAGAUCUGUGACUUCAGUUGAGGAUUAUGACCAAACAGGUUAAGUGGGCAAGUACUGUUGAGACAGUCUUCAGAGCAGCUGGACAGUGGGGCUAAGAGUAGAUACUGAGUCAGGAAAACCAGAAUUCAGAUUAAGGUUUGAGCACUUCCUGAACUCUUUUCUCAUCAAGAAAUUGAGCCUAAUUCAUUUCCCUCUGAAUAUGGGCUCACCUUACUGACUUGCUUCUAAGAAACAGUAUGAGCCUAGGUUACAGAAUGUGAGACAUCGUGCACCCAAUUCUGUCAGGAAAUGUGCGUCUGGUGUGUGUUUCCCAUGUGGGAAAUAUGGCUACCCUGAAGCUCCCACACUAGACAGACAACAUGGAGAGAUCACAUAAGAAUAGAGAAAGAUGCUCUAGCUGUCCCAUCUGUUCCAGUCCUCAGUGUUUUGAGUCUGUCCAGCCCAGGAGUGUGACAUACUGUUCCUGUGUACUCUGUUGUAAGACUUAUCACAAUGUUCCAGCUUUGAUCUCUGAGGAAAAAUACAUGGAUAAGAGCCUGUAAUGGUGAUAUUAUGAUCAGAGAUUCAGAAAUAUCAAGUCAUACCCUGUUAAACCAUACUUCCCAGAGGGUUUUGGAAGGUACUGUAGACAGAAGAGAUAAUACAAAAGUAAAUAAAAAUUUACCUUAUUAAUAUCCUUAUAGGUGCCUAAUAAUCCCUAACUAGUUAUAGUUCAAAUCAAAUUAGGGCCUCUUUAAUCCUGGGAAUGCCAUGCUUAUUGCCUGUGGGAAGAGAAAACCUCUUAAUCCACUUAGACAACCGGUUCCUUGCCAUGAAAGAGAAACAUGUAAGAUGAGCAAUCUGCCCUGGGGCUUGACUAUGCCAAAGGCCGAAACAGAAAAGCAAUAAAAGGAAAGUGGGUUUCUUCAUUUAAGGGAAAAUAAACCUGCCUGAAAAUAAAGCAUAGCCCAGUGGAUAUUCUGGGCUCAUACUAAGAGAAAAAAGAAACACCUCUUUCCUUAGAGAGUUAAGGCAGGGGUGGGAAGAGCAGGGCCUCAUAUAGAAAGAGGAGGCAAAAUAUACGUACUCUUAAGACAGUGGAACCAGGUGAUUUUUUCUGAGAUAUGUGAAGAGACCUGUGCAGUUUCUGUUGGAUGAAAUCAACUCUGUCGCCUUGGUGACAACUUCGUUGACCAAGGGAUCAAUACUCCAAUGAAAUACAGGCUAUACAUAAAAGAGGAAAAAUACAUGUAGGGUGACUUAUAAAACUGUGCCCCAUGCUGGCUCUUCCAAUUAGGUGUAACAGAACAACGUAAUGAGCCCCCCUCUGCAGGUGGUGUAGACAUGAAGUAUAUAAGAAGAAAAGGAACCUUUAAGCCCAAACCCCAUUCCUUAGCAAUAUUAUUAUUCUCUGUUCCAUAAAAUUUAUGACAAUUUCUAGUCUUGGACCCAGAGUGAAUGCCAUGUAUCUAGGAGAUGUAUCUAGGGUAUCUCAUGUUUCUAUUUUAUUUGUAUCUUUAAAAGAAAACUUCAUUGGGG